Molecule: ribosomal RNA, 490 nt
Filed under: uncultured bacterium
Lineage: Bacteria
Description: partial 16S ribosomal RNA
Rfam family: Bacterial small subunit ribosomal RNA
Source: RNAcentral
AUUGAACGCUGGCGGCAGGCCUAACACAUGCAAGUCGAACGGUAACAGGAAGCAGCUUGCUGCUUUGCUGACGAGUGGCGGACGGGUGAGUAAUGUCUGGGAAACUGCCCGAUGGAGGGGGAUAACUACUGGAAACGGUAGCUAAUACCGCAUAACGUCGCAAGACCAAAGAGGGGGACCUUAGGGCCUCUUGCCAUCGGAUGUGCCCAGAUGGGAUUAGCUAGUAGGUGGGGUAACGGCUCACCUAGGCGACGAUCCCUAGCUGGUCUGAGAGGAUGACCAGCCACACUGGAACUGAGACACGGUCCAGACUCCUACGGGAGGCAGCAGUGGGGAAUAUUGCACAAUGGGCGCAAGCCUGAUGCAGCCACGCCGCGUGUAUGAAGAAGGCCUUCGGGUUGUAAAGUACUUUCAGCGGGGAGGAAGGGAGUAAAGUUAAUACCUUUGCUCAUUGACGUUACCCGCAGAAGAAGCACCGGCUAACUCCGUG